Ochotona princeps (American pika) is the source of this 2663-nucleotide RNA transcript. It is a transcript of the gene named protein phosphatase 1 regulatory subunit 15B, with no coding region annotated. Lineage: Eukaryota; Metazoa; Chordata; Mammalia; Lagomorpha; Ochotonidae. The transcript has 4 exons. The record is from RefSeq and is a predicted model, not a curated record.
GUCGCCGCUGCUGGAGAGGAUUGCUUCCUAUGUCGCUGCGGCCUGAGCGGACUAAGACGCCGCCUUCCCGCUAGGAUGGCCGCCUCCUGCGCGGGCCGUUCGAGUCUGUGCCGUAGCGUCCGCAGCCGAAGCCGCCGCCCUCUGUGGCUUCUCUGCCGGCGCGGGGGUCGGCCUGGAGCCCUGACUCGACUGCGGGGUGGGGCCGGAACUGCUUAAGUCUCCUCGCGUCCCGCCGACUUUUUCCUUCGCUGAGAAAACUGCCGAGAAGAUGGAGAUGGAGCCGAGAUCGCACAGCUCGCGGCCUGGGCCUCGGGCCCGCGCCUGGUGCCGGCUGCCCGGCUUCCUGCCUUGGCGAUCGCAAGCAGCCGGGUCCAAGUUCCCGACGGCCGCGCCGCAGAGCUCGGGGGACGCCGCUUUGCCUUCCGACGCCCGGCCAGGCUACUGGUCAAAGCUGCUGGCCCAGCUGUUGGCGCCGCUGCCCGGCUUGCUUCAGAAAGUGCUGCUUUGGAGCCAGCUCUUCGGUGCUCUGCUUCCGACCAGGUGGUUGGGCUUAGCCAGCCGUUACAGCGCCCUGAGAAGCUGGCGGGGGCGAGAGGAGGCGCCCGACCCCCCUGGACCCCUGGACCCCUCGGUCCCCAGCACCCUGGGUUGGCUGGAGGAAGGGCUCCACUGGCAGUGCCCGGCCUCUGAUCUGAACUUGGGACUCAAAGCCAAGGACAGCGGGCUGAACCCUGCCGCGCACCCGUUUCUCUUGGAGCAGCAGCUGUGGGGCGUCAGGCUGCUGCCCGGUGCCCUGGAGGCCCGUCUGUUUGCUGACCGGGAGCUGGGUUCUUCGCCCUCCGGGAGCAUUCAGCGCUUGGCCAGUGGCAAUGUGGUCUCCUACAUGCUGAGCCCUUCUUCCAAUCUGGACUGCCUCCCUUGGCUGCAGGUGGGCUGCCGGCGCAGCAGCGGAAGUGACCAGCGGGUGGACGUCCAGAGCCUAGCCUCCGAGAGCAGCUGCCUUUCGGAGGAGCCAGGUGAGCCCCAGCCGCUGUCUGCAGAGCUGCCCCCAGCCUCGUGGCAGACGUAUCCACCUCUGUCCCAGGAAGGCCUGCCCGAGAUCCAGCAUCUGCGCAUGAAACGGCUGGAAUUCCUCCAGCAGGCCGGCAAGGGGCAGGACUUGCCCACCCCGGAGCAGGACCACGGCUACCACAGCCUGGAGGAGGAGCACAACCUUCUCCGCCUGGAGCAGCAAGGCUGCGGAGGGGACGCGGCCCAGUGUGUUCCCCUGGCCGUAGGUCCCGUUUCCGGAGCCUCCCCGGAGCCCAAGGAGGAUGGCUUCGAACUGUGGGCGGAAGAGGGUGCUCCAGGCAGCUGUCCUUCGUGCGAGGUGCCCCUGGGCAGGGAGGCUGGGGAGUCCUCAGGCCCAGAGGAGGAGCUGCCCCCCGCGGCCAGGCCGGCGUGUAGCAACAAACUAAUAGAUUACAUUUUGGGGGGUGCCACCAGUGACCCUGAGAGCAGCUCUGAUUCCGAGGGGGAAGGCUGGGAUGAAGAGGCAGAGGACGACGGCUUCGGCAGUGAUGGCUCCCUGUCCGAGUCAGAGCCCGAAGGGGACUCGGAGGACCUUCACCUGUGGAACUCCUUCUACAGUGUAGACCCCUACAGCCUCCAAAACUUCACAGCCACGCUGCAGACUGUGGCCAAAAGGGCCCCUGAGGACCCUGCUGCGGCCCAGUCUGGCUGGGCCGAGCCUUGUGAGCUGGAGGCUGCGCCCCAGGCUGGGAGCCUCCCCGAGACCCCCGAGCCUAGCUCUGAAUCCGGGGAGGAGGAGGAGGAGGACGACUGGGACUGCAGUGUGGACGAGGCGGAGAGUCUGCAGCUGUGGGACUCCUUUUGCCAUUCCGACGACCCCUACAACCUGUUCAAUUUUAAGGCUCCCUUCCAAACUGCAGGGAAAAGUGGGCAGGGCUGUCCCGACGCCAAGCAGCCACCGGAGUGCGUUGUGGUCACCUCGGAGAGUCACACCGUGCUUACUUGUAAAGUGCAGCUCUCAGACAGCCAAGAAAGUAGACAUCCAGGCCGGACUCGGUGUGGGGGUCUUUCGGGAGAAAGGUGCUCACCGAUCAAAAGAAAGGUGACCUUCGUUGAAGAAGUGACUGAGUAUUACUUAAGUGAUGAUGAGGAUCGCAAAGGACCCUGGGAAGAGUUUGCAAGGGAUAGAUGCAGAUUCCGGAAACGAAUCCAAGAAACAGAAGAUGCUAUUGGCUUUUGCUUGACAUUUGAGCACCGACAAAGAACAUUCGACAGACUGCAGGAAGCAUGCUUGAGAAGACUUAAUGUUCCUGAGCAAAAGUUCUUAUCAGAAAGGAGGGUGAGGACCACACAGCAGGAGAACCAUGCAUUUGCCAGCAGCACCAUCUAGCGGGAGAGAGGACCUCACUGAGUUCUUGAUUCUUCAGACCGUGUUGCAUGUCUUACCUCCAGAAUACGGAUGGAUGUUUACACUUUGAGGCCAAAUUAACUUUCAGAUAUUUCCAGAGGUGUUCAGGGUCAGAGCAGAAGCUGAGAUGAGGAGCUGAAAGAGCAAAGUGGCUGGUGCUGCUUUGAGCUGGAGUGACGCAGAAAGAGGAGAUGGAGAGAUCUUCCACCUGCUGGGUCAUGCCCCUCAGUGCCACAGUGGCCCC